UUAAGCGACUAAGCGUACACGGUGGAUGCCCUGGCAGUCAGAGGCGAUGAAGGACGUGCUAAUCUGCGAAAAGCGUCGGUAAGGUGAUAUGAACCGUUAUAACCGGCGAUGUCCGAAUGGGGAAACCCAGUGUGAUUCGUCACACUAUCGUUAACUGAAUACAUAGGUUAACGAGGCGAACCGGGGGAACUGAAACAUCUAAGUACCCCGAGGAAAAGAAAUCAACCGAGAUUCCCCCAGUAGCGGCGAGCGAACGGGGAGCAGCCCAGAGUCUGAAUCAGCUUGUGUGUUAGUGGAACGGUCUGGAAAGUCCGACGGUACAGGGUGAUAGUCCCGUACACCAAAAUGCACAGGUUGUGAACUCGAAGAGUAGGGCGGGACACGUGGUAUCCUGUCUGAAUAUGGGGGGACCAUCCUCCAAGGCUAAAUACUCCUGACUGACCGAUAGUGAACCAGUACCGUGAGGGAAAGGCGAAAAGAACCCCGGCGAGGGGAGUGAAAAAGAACCUGAAACCGUGUACGUACAAGCAGUGGGAGCACCUUCGGGUGUGACUGCGUACCUUUUGUAUAAUGGGUCAGCGACUUAUAUUCUGUAGCAAGGUUAACCGUAUAGGGGAGCCGCAGGGAAACCGAGUCUUAACUGGGCGUUAAGUUGCAGGGUAUAGACCCGAAACCCGGUGAUCUAGCCAUGGGCAGGUUGAAGGUUGGGUAACACUAACUGGAGGACCGAACCGACUAAUGUUGAAAAAUUAGCGGAUGACUUGUGGCUGGGGGUGAAAGGCCAAUCAAACCGGGAGAUAGCUGGUUCUCCCCGAAAGCUAUUUAGGUAGCGCCUCGUGAACUCAUCUUCGGGGGUAGAGCACUGUUUCGGCUAGGGGGUCAUCCCGACUUACCAACCCGAUGCAAACUACGAAUACCGAAGAAUGUUAUCACGGGAGACACACGGCGGGUGCUAACGUCCGUCGUGAAGAGGGAAACAACCCAGACCGCCAGCUAAGGUCCCAAAGUCAUGGUUAAGUGGGAAACGAUGUGGGAAGGCACAGACAGCCAGGAUGUUGGCUUAGAAGCAGCCAUCAUUUAAAGAAAGCGUAAUAGCUCACUGGUCGAGUCGGCCUGCGCGGAAGAUGUAACGGGGCUAAACCAUGCACCGAAGCUGCGGCAGCGACACUAUGUGUUGUUGGGUAGGGGAGCGUUCUGUAAGCCUGCGAAGGUGACCUGUGAGGGUUGCUGGAGGUAUCAGAAGUGCGAAUGCUGACAUAAGUAACGAUAAAGCGGGUGAAAAGCCCGCUCGCCGGAAGACCAAGGGUUCCUGUCCAACGUUAAUCGGGGCAGGGUGAGUCGACCCCUAAGGCGAGGCCGAAAGGCGUAGUCGAUGGGAAACAGGUUAAUAUUCCUGUACUUGGUGUUACUGCGAAGGGGGGACGGAGAAGGCUAUGUUAGCCGGGCGACGGUUGUCCCGGUUUAAGCAUGUAGGCUGGUUGUCCAGGCAAAUCCGGAUAAUCAAGGCUGAGGUGUGAUGACGAGGCACUACGGUGCUGAAGUAACAAAUGCCCUGCUUCCAGGAAAAGCCUCUAAGCAUCAGGUAACAUCAAAUCGUACCCCAAACCGACACAGGUGGUCAGGUAGAGAAUACCAAGGCGCUUGAGAGAACUCGGGUGAAGGAACUAGGCAAAAUGGUGCCGUAACUUCGGGAGAAGGCACGCUGGUGUGUAGGUGAAGUCCCUGCGGAUGGAGCUGAGACCAGUCGAAGAUACCAGCUGGCUGCAACUGUUUAUUAAAAACACAGCACUGUGCAAACACGAAAGUGGACGUAUACGGUGUGACGCCUGCCCGGUGCCGGAAGGUUAAUUGAUGGGGUUAUCCGUAAGGAGAAGCUCUUGAUCGAAGCCCCGGUAAACGGCGGCCGUAACUAUAACGGUCCUAAGGUAGCGAAAUUCCUUGUCGGGUAAGUUCCGACCUGCACGAAUGGCGUAAUGAUGGCCAGGCUGUCUCCACCCGAGACUCAGUGAAAUUGAACUCGCUGUGAAGAUGCAGUGUACCCGCGGCAAGACGGAAAGACCCCGUGAACCUUUACUAUAGCUUGACACUGAACAUUGAGCCUUGAUGUGUAGGAUAGGUGGGAGGCUUUGAAGCGUGGACGCCAGUCUGCGUGGAGCCAACCUUGAAAUACCACCCUUUAAUGUUUGAUGUUCUAACGUUGGCCCCUUACCGGGGUUGCGGACAGUGUCUGGUGGGUAGUUUGACUGGGGCGGUCUCCUCCCAAAGCGUAACGGAGGAGCACGAAGGUUAGCUAAUCCUGGUCGGACAUCAGGAGGUUAGUGCAAUGGCAUAAGCUAGCUUGACUGCGAGCGUGACGGCGCGAGCAGGUGCGAAAGCAGGUCAUAGUGAUCCGGUGGUUCUGAAUGGAAGGGCCAUCGCUCAACGGAUAAAAGGUACUCCGGGGAUAACAGGCUGAUACCGCCCAAGAGUUCAUAUCGACGGCGGUGUUUGGCACCUCGAUGUCGGCUCAUCACAUCCUGGGGCUGAAGUAGGUCCCAAGGGUAUGGCUGUUCGCCAUUUAAAGUGGUACGCGAGCUGGGUUUAGAACGUCGUGAGACAGUUCGGUCCCUAUCUGCCGUGGGCGCUGGAGAAUUGAGGGGGGCUGCUCCUAGUACGAGAGGACCGGAGUGGACGCAUCACUGGUGUUCGGGUUGUCAUGCCAAUGGCACUGCCCGGUAGCUAAAUGCGGAAGAGAUAAGUGCUGAAAGCAUCUAAGCACGAAACUUGCCCCGAGAUGAGUUCUCCCUGAGACUUUAAGUCUCCUGAAGGAACGUUAAAGACGAUGACGUUGAUAGGCCGGGUGUGUAAGCGCAGCGAUGCGUUGAGCUAACCGGUACUAAUGAACCGUGAGGCUUAACCUU
RNAcentral lists this ribosomal RNA (2900 nucleotides) under Klebsiella pneumoniae. RNAcentral's name for it is "bacterial LSU rRNA". It matches the Rfam family "Bacterial large subunit ribosomal RNA". The record is from RNAcentral. Lineage: Bacteria; Pseudomonadati; Pseudomonadota; Gammaproteobacteria; Enterobacterales; Enterobacteriaceae.